Long non-coding RNA from Chelonoidis abingdonii (Abingdon island giant tortoise), 1779 nucleotides. RefSeq lists it as uncharacterized. NCBI's taxonomy places the organism in Eukaryota, Metazoa, Chordata, Testudines, Testudinidae. The record is from RefSeq and is a predicted model, not a curated record.
GACAAGGCUAAGAAGCAGUCAGUGGGUGAACCAGCUGUGACAGAAUGGCCUUUUUAUUAACAGCAGCCUUGGUUUUCCAGACUUUACUGGGAAAUGCUGCUGGAGAAGGAUGGGAAUCAUAUCUCAAUUUUUCCAUUUGGAACCACACAUUUUAUUUCUAUGACAAUUACACAGAUGACUAUCUUCCAGAAAACGCCACAGAUUAUUAUUAUUAUUCAGAAUAUGUCACAGCUGGUUAUCGUGAAUUUGAAGCUUUGUUUGCAAAGAAUUUGACAGAGUCGGCAGGAUCAUCACUCCAGGGCCAUCUUCCCUUCUUCUUUGUCCUCCUCCAUCUUCUAUGGUUUUUGCUACAACAAUUCACACUUCUUUUGUAGAGGAUACUGAGGUUCUGUAUUGGAUGUGAACAGCUUUGCUUUGAAUUAGAACAUUCCUCAAGGAGGAAAACAAAGAACUCUGUCACACAUGUAAAUUACUUCCCCUACAAUGAAUCAGUCAUUUUUUUUAGUGCAGUUUAUGUAUUUAUGUAGAAACACAAACUUACGUAACAGCUAUGUUUCCUCAUAAGUAGUAUAAAUUGCAUAAAUGUUGACUAGCUGUUUGUAUCUUCUGUAUUUCUUCCUCUCACAUUUCCUCACUAUCAUUCACUGGGUCCUAUUGUAAAUAUGAAAUAUGUGCCAACAAAAUGAAGCACUGGCUGAUCACUCCAGAUCUUUCAGUGCUAUCUGAUGUUCUGACAUCACUGGAUCAACUGCUGCUAUCUCCCUGGAAUGCAAGCCCUUGGAUCUGCUGUUGAAUAGUUUCAGCUGCAUCCAGAAAAAAGAGUCUGCCUUAUAGCUGUUGAAACAAACACGAUAUAAAGGGGACUAUGGAGCAAGUGUACCUACCAGUUCACCUCCCCUAAAACAAUCACCAUUACAUUUAAAAUGGAUGUUGCCCGCUGGCCAUGUUUAUGUCUGUGUUCCUGUUCACUCUAGACGGAGUUUCAGGUCUCUGGCUUCCAAUGACCAUAGAUCGUGCAAACUCUCUCACAUGAGUAGUCCUGUAAGUAGAUAUGUCAGAAAGAGAGGGGGCUCAGAUACAGAUGACAAAUGAUUAGAUACUUCUGUAUGAGGAAAGACUGAAAAAAGUGGGACUACUUUGGAGAGGAGAAGAAUAAAGGAUAUGACUGAGACAUACAAAAUAAAAAGUGGUGGAGAAUCUCAUUCAGGCACUCCCAUGUACCCUCACACAUAGUAUAAGAUCAAGUGAAACUGAAAUGCAACAAAUAUGUAACUGACAAAAGACAAUGCGUUCUUACACAAGGCCUAAUUAACAUGUGGAACUCAGUGCUGCAAGCUCUCUCAAGAGAUUCUCUUGUGUGUUGAUGGCUGUCUGCUCCAACCCUUCCCACACUCCUCCCUUUGUCUCUCCAGACCCUGACUCCAGAAAAGAGGUUUGGGUCAAUAGGGCCUCACUGGUUGAUGACCUGGACAUAAAUGGGGUAGAUGGAUGAAGAUUAAUUCAGCUUCUUCCCUCUCCACCUAGGAUGCUGGGGUGGAGCCUCACACAACAGCUGCCCCUCAUUGCCUCCUUCUGACUCCCUUCUCAUCUGCUCUGUUCCCAUCACUCCUCUCUUUCCUUGUCUUUCCAUUUAGCUAAUCCCUGCUAAUUGAACACUCCCACUCUAAAACAACUUUCAUCUAAUUAACGCAACCUUUCCCACAAUCACAUUAUUCAUACUGCUUCCAAGUUAUAUCCUUUCCCUCAGUUCUUAAUGUGUAAUGAAAGAGGUGCUGGAGC